Macaca mulatta (Rhesus monkey) is the source of this 3407-nucleotide non-coding RNA. The record is from RefSeq and is a predicted model, not a curated record. NCBI's taxonomy places the organism in Eukaryota, Metazoa, Chordata, Mammalia, Primates, Cercopithecidae.
UCCCCAUGUUCUGUUCUCUGUGGCCCCUGCAAUGCCAAAACACAGGCUUAAAAAUACUCUCGUGAAAUGUCAAAGUUUUAUUAUUGUACAACUCCAUCUGAGAAUUUGAGACUGCUUCUAAGUUUCUAUUGUCCUAUCGGAAUUGACUAAUGCAUGGCCAGCUUGGUAGGCGUUUUACAGCUCCCACUCAGCAAGCCUUGGCAAGUUCUUGGAAGAAGAAGGGAAAAUGAGGAGGAGGGGAUGUCCUGUUGGUUUCUGAGGUACUGGGUUUCUUGCUGUGUGAACUUUCGAUACACACAUCGGAAAACCUGAAGAGUCUCUGUGCUUUUCCUGGAAUUAUAUAACCAACUACAGUUUCAGAAUACAUCAAAGCAAGGUCUUAUCAAAUACCUUAUCUCCGGGUUUGUCUUCCACAUAAAAUAUGAGUCACAAUCAGGAUCAAACGAUUGAAGUAAACUUUGUCCACACUGCAGUUUGCUCCUGCAGGACUGUGCUUCAUAUCUCCUCUAAGUCCAAAUCCAACUAGGUCUCUUGGGUUAGGCCAUGGACAGUCCUGAGUUUACUUUGGAGGUCACCCCACAGCACCUGUGUACAUCCAGAAAGACGUGGAAAAAGAGAAUCAGGAGUGGAAACUGGGAUCAUCGUCAUCCCCUUGGAGGUAAGAAAUCAGAUAAUUGGAGAAACUUGGAUCUUAUUAUUAGGAAAGCCUGUGUUAUCACUCCACAAUACCAGCAGCUGGUUGCUGCCCAAAUUACUGAUGGAAUCACCUGUCGUUCUAUUUCCACCAUUAGGGUUUAACACUUUUGAGUUUUAAUGUUUUUUUCAGUCUGAAAGAUACCCAUAAAAGUGCAUUUUGUCCUAGGAGGGACCACACCUCAUAGCUUCAUUCAAUGUUUAACUGAAACCUGGAAAGGUCUGAUACUGAGAUAAGGAGAUGAAGAAACAAAUUGUGUUUACUUCUAAUUUUUUCUCAUAGUUGUGGUCAAAAUUAUGCCACUAUUCAUUGUGAGACCUUGGGUGGAUUGCUUAAUUGCACCAAGCUCAAUCUGGCUGUCUUUCAAAAACAGAGAUUUCAAUCUCUUGCCAAUAUCACAAGAUCAUAAAAUCUGCUCACUGUGUACAUAGAGCUACCAGAUGUAAUUAAAGAAAAUAUAAAACAUGGUAUUUCCCUUAAUGUUUGAAAGUAAUUUAGCAAGGGGCAUGGUCAGCAUCUAGGUGCCAUAAAAAAAUGUAAUGAAAGGCAGCUGCUUACAUUUACAGCAGAAGAGAUGAGUGUGAGUUGAAGAAAAUGCUCUUCAUAUAUCAUUUUAAUCAUUUCAAUGUUACAAGGUAAUAAAUGAAUGUAUUCUUAUAAACAUCAAGCAUAUGAGACAAUGCAGCAUGGUUAAUAUGUGCAGAGUCAGGCAGUCUUGUAGUCAAAUUUCAGCACAAAUCCCUGGGCCAUGGGACCUGGGGCAAGCUGGUUGGCUCUGCAGCUCAGCGUCUGUACCUGUCAAAUGGGGAAUACAGCAGCUUUUGGCAUAGGUGCCCCACAAUCAGCAGAAACGCCACUAAAAAUGGAAUGUGUUGAUCUUCUGAGAGUGUAACAAUGGCAGCCGAAAGAGGAAGGAAACGGUCUCAAAUGCAGCUCCUAUAUGGACCCGUUCUUUCAGCCUCUAUUCAGUCACUCCCUAUGUGAGAGGAAUCAAGCUAGAGUCCGAGAGCUCAUCUUUAAGGAAAGGAGCAAGACUUGCAUACAGAAUAGCUUGUGAUGAGUUCAAAGCCAGGGAAGAAGGUGUCAAGGCUACUUCUCAGAAGGCAUGGACCAACAGUGGAGCCUUGAGUGGUGGACAAAAGUUGACCAGGAAGUCACAGAGACGAAAUCCAUUCCAAGCACAGGGAAGGGCCGGUACAAAGGAGAUGUGAACGGAGUGUGGCAGCUGGCAUGUCUUCUCACUUCUGAGUCUAGGACUGAGUGCAUUACCUGAAACACUCAGAUCUGGUGCUCAGUAAUGUGUGUGAUUGAGAGGAAGGAGAGGAAAGCUGUUCCAGGUGUCAGAGUGAGAAGAAGGAUCACAGAAUGAAGAAGCCUGAGAUGAAUACAUAAGGAGCAGAGGCAUGAGAUGAGGAAAAUAAUCGAGACCAGCACUGGCCAUGGCAUAGCAGGUUGCAUGGAGGAAGUCCAGAGACUCUUCCACGAUCCUUUAGCCACUAGCUGCUAGCAUGGCCUUCAGUAAGUCAUCUUGAUAUCUCUUAAUUCCAGUGCUCUCUUCUCUAAAAUACGAGAGCUAAACCUGUUGAGCUCUGAGAUCUCUUUCCAUUCUGUUCAGUUUUAAAAGCAUUUGCUAACUUUCUACUCAGUGCUGGGCACCAUGCUAGACACCAGGGAUCCAAAGACAAGUAAUAUAUUGUCCUCGUUAUUCUCCGCUUGCUGCUCCCACAUGUCAAAUCCAUUCUCAUCCCUUCUCCAGGAGCCCAAGUGCCCUGCAUCAGCCAGGCAUUCUUGCCUUUUGGUCAUCUAUUCCACUCAUGCAAUGGGAGGCAACUAUGAGAAGCUGGAAAUAGCAACAGAGAGAGGUUGGGGCAUUUCCCUUCCUAUUUCCUCCUUACUCCAUCUCUGAGGCUGGCUAUGAUGAUCACAGCCUCUUUCCACAGGUACAGCUCCUGCCCAGCAGCCCAUUUUCUGUGGCUCCAGGCCUCUCUGAGAUUCAGUAACACCGUUUUCCCCACUUACUCCUCCAGACCCACAUGUGCCAAUGACUGCUCACUCUGCUAGUGUCUGACUACCUCAACUUCCUUUAAACCUGCACUAAAGCAUUCUGCAUCGUUUUCAUUAAAAUUUCUUCUGUUCAACCAUGUGAGCGAAUUCUAUUUGUGGCAGGCCUCUAAUUGAUUCAGAGUUUAAAGUGCGAAUGGGUGGGAAGGCAGAACUAUUAAUAUGGCAUUUUUCCAAUAUAAAAUAUCAUAAGAAAACCAAGAAGGGAGCAAUGCUGGAAGGCUGAAGAAGAGAGGCACCACAGGGAGUGUUUGUGGAAAGAGAGUUCGAAGACUGGGGUGGAAGAAUUGAUGAUGGACACAGGGAUGAAAGAAUGGGACCAGAGAGAGUUUAUUGUUAUUGUUGCUACUGCAGCUAUUACUGUUACAUUAAAAACAAUUUUCAACAUGUACAACCCAAAGAGAAAUAAAAUCUGUUAUACCAGAAUAAAGAAUAGCAUGUAAUUAUGUAUGAAUGAUGGGACAAUAAGCAUAAUUUGAGAAGAGGUAUAAUUUCAGCUGUGAAUGUGAACAUGGGUUGACUUUUGCUGUUUUAAGUAGAUUGAUCAUUUUCAAUGUUAUCAACUAAGUGUGCAAAUUCAGCAAUUGAAAAUGCGUGCAAGCUCUGUACAAAAGACAAAUUCUUUAUAUAGAAUAAAAAGUCAACUGGGAAA